UGAGGAAUAUUGGGCAAUGCCCGCAAGGGUGACCCAGCAACGCCGCGUGGAGGAUGAAUGUCGUAAGAUUGUAAACUCCUGUUAGAGGGGAAGAAUAGUACCGGUUGGACCGGUAUAUGACUGUACCCUCAGAGAAAGCCCCGGCUAACUACGUGCCAGCAGCCGCGGUAAUACGUAGGGGGCAAGCGUUGUCCGGAUUUACUGGGUGUAAAGGGCGCGCAGGCGGGAUAAAAAGUCAGUGGUGAAAUCCUACAGCUUAACUGUAGAACUGCCUUUGAUACUUUUAUUCUUGAGUUCAGGAGAGAGAGACGGAAUUCCAGGUGUAGUGGUGAAAUACGUAGAUAUCUGGAAGAACACCAGUUGCGAAGGCGGUCUCUUGGUCCGACACUGACGCUGAGGCGCGAAAGCGUGGGGAGCAAACA
This 422-nucleotide ribosomal RNA is filed under the name uncultured bacterium. Its description in RNAcentral is "bacterial SSU rRNA". It matches the Rfam family "Bacterial small subunit ribosomal RNA", at positions 355 to 774 of the family's 1533-position model. The record is from RNAcentral.